GGCUCCAUCGUCUAACGGCUAGGACGCGGCCCUUUCAAGGCUGAAAUAGGGGUUCGAUUCCCCUUGGAGCCACCC
This 75-nucleotide transfer RNA is filed under the name Elusimicrobia bacterium CG1_02_63_36. RNAcentral's name for it is "tRNA-Glu". It matches the Rfam family "tRNA". Rfam says of the family: Transfer RNA (tRNA) molecules are approximately 80 nucleotides in length. The record is from RNAcentral. Lineage: Bacteria; Pseudomonadati; Elusimicrobiota. RNAcentral also lists the same sequence under 3 other names.